GAAAGAGUGCUUUGUUGAGAGGUCAUUUCAUCAACCAACCACAAAACAAAAUUGUAUUCUACACAUAGAAACGAACUUGAUGCUUCUUUGGGUGAAGAAAACCAGUACCCAACAUGAGAGAGAGAUCAUAUUCCAUUUAGAUGAAUAAUGUUAGCGAUCUUAUUCCUAGUGUUUUCGUUUCCCUUAAAAACCAUCUUUGCUAAACAUCAAACACCAAAAACUCUCUGUUCUUCUAUCUCACCACUGUGCUCUACAACUUGACAAAGGCCUUGUUGGAAAGGUGCUUGUGCCCAUUGCCCCCACUAAGUGUAUAGGACCCCCACAGAUAUAAGGACACUGGCUGCUGACUAGUGUAACCCACUCAAGGUCAUCAUAUGGUGCAAACAAGAUAUCCCAUCAUAGAUAGAUGUAAAGAGAAAGAUCGAAGUUUCAAGUUCACAAG
RNAcentral lists this long non-coding RNA (442 nucleotides) under Fragaria vesca (wild strawberry). RNAcentral describes it as "long non-coding RNA (FVES_LNC000061)". The record is from RNAcentral. Lineage: Eukaryota; Viridiplantae; Streptophyta; Magnoliopsida; Rosales; Rosaceae.